RNAcentral lists this transfer RNA (64 nucleotides) under Apicotermitinae gen. D sp. CAM075. Its description in RNAcentral is "tRNA-Thr". It matches the Rfam family "tRNA". From Rfam's summary of the family: Transfer RNA (tRNA) molecules are approximately 80 nucleotides in length. Their secondary structure includes four short double-helical elements and three loops (D, anti-codon, and T loops). Further hydrogen bonds mediate the characteristic L-shaped molecular structure. tRNAs have two regions of fundamental functional importance: the anti-codon, which is responsible for specific mRNA codon recognition, and the 3' end, to which the tRNAs corresponding amino acid is attached (by aminoacyl-tRNA synthetases). tRNAs cope with the degeneracy of the genetic code in two manners: having more than one tRNA (with a specific anti-codon) for a particular amino acid; and 'wobble' base-pairing, i.e. permitting non-standard base-pairing at the 3rd anti-codon position. RNAcentral also lists the same sequence under 1 other name. Lineage: Eukaryota; Metazoa; Arthropoda; Insecta; Blattodea; Termitidae. The record is from RNAcentral.
GUUUUAAUAAUUUAAUAAAAAUAUUGGUCUUGUAAACCAAAAAUAAGGAAAGCCUUUUAAAACU